AGAAUGAACGCUGGCGGCAUGCCUAACACAUGCAAGUCGAACGAGACCUUCGGGUCUAGUGGCGCACGGGUGCGUAACGCGUGGGAAUCUGCCCUUGGGUUCGGAAUAACUCAGAGAAAUUUGAGCUAAUACCGGAUGAUGUCGAAAGACCAAAGAUUUAUCGCCCAGGGAUGAGCCCGCGUAGGAUUAGCUAGUUGGUGAGGUAAAAGCUCACCAAGGCGACGAUCCUUAGCUGGUCUGAGAGGAUGAUCAGCCACACUGGGACUGAGACACGGCCCAGACUCCUACGGGAGGCAGCAGUGGGGAAUAUUGGACAAUGGGCGAAAGCCUGAUCCAGCAAUGCCGCGUGAGUGAUGAAGGCCUUAGGGUUGUAAAGCUCUUUUACCCGGGAUGAUAAUGACAGUACCGGGAGAAUAAGCUCCGGCUAACUCCGCGCCAGCAGCCGC
RNAcentral lists this ribosomal RNA (446 nucleotides) under uncultured bacterium. RNAcentral's name for it is "SSU rRNA". It matches the Rfam family "Bacterial small subunit ribosomal RNA", at positions 26 to 518 of the family's 1533-position model. The record is from RNAcentral.